CCUUAUCACGUUACCAAAUAUGUCCAACUCCUUGUAGCACACAACCAGGCAAUACAAAGCACCUCACCCAGUUGCUCUACAUAACAUCUCUCUCUCUCUCUCUCUCUCUCUCUCUCUCUCUCUCUCUCUUGUGGGUGGCAGGUUGAACUGUUGAAGGGUUUUCGUUGGUCUACUUUCACAGUUCAAACUAAUUUAAAGAACUAUGGGAAGCAAAAAGGCACCAAGUUGGGAUGAACAAUGGGGAGGUGGUGAAGACGAACACGACGUGGCCGUGACCAAUGGUAACAAAAGGCUGGGCGGCGGCAGCAGCAAGAAGAUGGAGGAGGCGAAGGCGGCGGCUUCAGCUGGGCUAGGCAAGGCAAAGGCGGCUGCGGUUGUGGGAGCCCAGAAGGUGCGGAGCGGGACCUCUGCCGGUAUCAAAUGGGUCAAGAACCAGUACCAGAAAAAAAGCUCCUCGAAUAAAUGAAUCAUCAGAUAUUUCAGUUCAAAUACCUAAAGAAGAAAAGGAUAGAAAGAUUUACAACUUUGCUUCAAUUUUUACAUUGAGUAAUUUAGAUCAUAUUUCGUAAGUCUAUUUCAUAGAACUUUGCUUGUAUUUCUAUCUUAUUUCACAAGGGCUUAUUGACAUUUUUUUGGAUGAUAUAUUGUUUGAGUUUCAUCGACGUCCCCAAAUUA
Long non-coding RNA from Rhododendron vialii, 675 nucleotides. RefSeq lists it as uncharacterized. The transcript has 2 exons. The record is from RefSeq and is a predicted model, not a curated record. Lineage: Eukaryota; Viridiplantae; Streptophyta; Magnoliopsida; Ericales; Ericaceae.